CAGUCGUAACAAAGUUUCCGUAGGUGGGGGACCCUUAGGUGGGGGACCCUUAGGCCUAGCUCCUGUCUCCUAGAUGCGGUCAACAAGAAUCGUGAAGCGUUAUCCUUGCACAAUCUAUGACACUUUCAGACACUGACUGCUUGCGGAAACAAGGCCUUAGAGAACGUCAACAAACCGAACAACUGUUAACAAUGGAUAUUUGGUUCUC
Molecule: unclassified non-coding RNA, 208 nt
Filed under: fungal sp.
Lineage: Eukaryota; Fungi
Description: partial internal transcribed spacer region
Source: RNAcentral